Molecule: ribosomal RNA, 256 nt
Filed under: uncultured bacterium
Lineage: Bacteria
Description: partial 16S ribosomal RNA
Rfam family: Bacterial small subunit ribosomal RNA
Source: RNAcentral
GAGGCGAAGCCGUGAGGCCAAGCAAAGCCCAAAAAUGGCGUCUCAGUUCGGAUUGUAGUCUGCAACUCGACUACAUGAAGCUGGAAUCGCUAGUAAUCGCAGAUCAGAAUGCUGCGGUGAAUACGUUCCCGGGUCCUGUACACACCGCCCGUCACACCAUGGGAGCCGGGGGGGACCCGAAGUCAGUUGCCUAACCGCAAGGGGGGCGCUGCCGAAGGUAAAACUGGUGAUUGGGGUGAAGUCGUAACAAGGUAGC